AAAUGCGGGGGCUCUCUGGCUGUGGCAUAUUAUCCCACCCACCUCCAGGGUUAAUUUGGCCGAUCUGGCUAGCCAAAUGGAUGUUCUCUUCUUCCCUUGCAGCUCCAUGUAGAGCCCCUCUGAAACAGAGAGUUCAGCUAAAGUGGGUGAUCUUCAAAUGGAGGAGGACCAUCUUCUGUCAAGGGUAUGAAAAGUUACACUCCUCCUCUCGAGCCUCCAAACAAGCUCUCAGAUGUAUGAGAUGAAUUUUAGAAGCUUAAUUAGUUGAUAGAUAAUAAUUUUACAUAUUUAUGGGUCAUGGUGAUAGUUCAAUAUGUGUAUUCAG
Molecule: small nuclear RNA, 325 nt
Filed under: Meriones unguiculatus (Mongolian gerbil)
Lineage: Eukaryota; Metazoa; Chordata; Mammalia; Rodentia; Muridae
Description: 7SK RNA (ENSMUGG00000019433.1)
Rfam family: 7SK RNA
About the family: 7SK was discovered as an abundant small nuclear RNA in the mid-70s but a possible function has only recently been suggested. Two independent studies have found that 7SK RNA binds the CDK9/cyclin T complex (known as elongation factor P-TEFb).
Source: RNAcentral